This 460-nucleotide ribosomal RNA is filed under the name uncultured bacterium. RNAcentral's name for it is "partial 16S ribosomal RNA". It matches the Rfam family "Bacterial small subunit ribosomal RNA", at positions 338 to 795 of the family's 1533-position model. The record is from RNAcentral.
CCUACGGGGUGCAGCAGUGAGGAAUAUUGGUCAAUGGGCGUAAGCCUGAACCAGCCAAGUCGCGUGAGGGAUGAAGGUUCCAUGGAUCGUAAACCUCUUUUAUAAGGGAAUAAAGUGUGGGACGUGUCCUGUUUUGUAUGUACCUUAUGAAUAAGGAUCGGCUAACUCCGUGCCAGCAGCCGCGGUAAUACGGAGGAUCCGAGCGUUAUCCGGAUUUAUUGGGUUUAAAGGGUGCGUAGGCGGCCUUUUAAGUCAGCGGUGAAAGUCUGUGGCUCAACCAUAGAAUUGCCGUUGAAACUGGGAGGCUUGAGUAUGUUUGAGGCAGGCGGAAUGCGUGGUGUAGCGGUGAAAUGCUUAGAUAUCACGCAGAACCCCGAUUGCGAAGGCAGCCUGCCAAGCCAUGACUGACGCUGAUGCACGAAAGCGUGGGGAUCAAACAGGAUUAGAUACCCGGGUAGUC